GACGAACGCUGGCGGCGUGCUUAACACAUGCAAGUCGAGCGGUAAGGCCCUUUCGGGGGUAUACGAGCGGCGAACGGGUGAGUAACACGCGAGCAACCUGCCCUUCUCUUUGGAAUAAGCGUUGGAAACGACGUCUAAUGCCGAAUAUGACCCCCUGUCGCAUGGUGGGGGGUGGAAAGCUCCGGCGGAGAAGGAUGGGCUCGCGGCCUAUCAGCUUGUUGGUGUGGGUAAUGGCCCACCAAGGCGACGACGGGUAGCCGGCCUGAGAGGGUGAACGGCCACACUGGGACUGAGACACGGCCCAGACUCCUACGGGAGGCAGCAGUGGGGAAUAUUGGACAAUGGGCGAAAGCCUGAUCCAGCAACGCCGCGUGAGGGAUGACGGCCUUCGGGUUGUAAACCACUUUCAGCAGGGACGAAGCGAGAGUGACGGUACCUGCAGAAGAAGGACCGGCCAACUACGUGCCAGCCGCCGCGGUAA
This 481-nucleotide ribosomal RNA is filed under the name uncultured bacterium. Its description in RNAcentral is "partial 16S ribosomal RNA". It matches the Rfam family "Bacterial small subunit ribosomal RNA", at positions 28 to 523 of the family's 1533-position model. The record is from RNAcentral.